UCGAACGAUGAAGCCCUUUCGGGGUGGAUUAGUGGCGAACGGGUGAGUAACACGUGGGCAAUCUGCCCUUCACUCUGGGACAAGCCCUGGAAACGGGGUCUAAUACCGGAUAAUACUUUCCUCCUCCUGGAGGAAGGUUGAAAGCUCCGGCGGUGAAGGAUGAGCCCGCGGCCUAUCAGCUAGUUGGUGGGGUAAUGGCCUACCAAGGCGACGACGGGUAGCCGGCCUGAGAGGGCGACCGGCCACACUGGGACUGAGACACGGCCCAGACUCNUACGGGAGGCAGCAGUGGGGAAUAUUGCACAAUGGGCGAAAGCCUGAUGCAGCGACGCCGCGUGAGGGAUGACGGCCUUCGGGUUGUAAACCUCUUUCAGCAGGGAAGAAGCGAAAGUGACGGUACCUGCAGAAGAAGCGCCGGCUAACUACGUGCCAGCAGCCGCGGUAAUACGUAGGGCGCAAGCGUUGUCCGGAAUUAUUGGGCGUAAAGAGCUCGUAGGCGGCUUGUCACGUCGGUUGUGAAAGCCCGGGGCUUAACCCCGGGUCUGCAGUCGAUACGGGCAGGCUAGAGUGUGGUAGGGGAGAUCGGAAUUCCUGGUGUAGCGGUGAAAUGCGCAGAUAUCAGGAGGAACACCGGUGGCGAAGGCGGAUCUCUGGGCCAUUACUGACGCUGAGGAGCGAAAGCGUGGGGAGCGAACAGGAUUAGAUACCCUGGUAGUCCACGCCGUAAACGUUGGGAACUAGGUGUUGGCGACAUUCCACGUCGUCGGUGCCGCAGCUAACGCAUUAAGUUCCCCGCCUGGGGAGUACGGCCGCAAGGCUAAAACUCAAAGGAAUUGACGGGGGCCCGCACAAGCAGCGGAGCAUGUGGCUUAAUUCGACGCAACGCGAAGAACCUUACCAAGGCUUGACAUACACCGGAAAGCAUCAGAGAUGGUGCCCCCCUUGUGGUCGGUGUACAGGUGGUGCAUGGCUGUCGUCAGCUCGUGUCGUGAGAUGUUGGGUUAAGUCCCGCAACGAGCGCAACCCUUGUUCUGUGUUGCCAGCAUGCCCUUCGGGGUGAUGGGGACUCACAGGAGACUGCCGGGGUCAACUCGGAGGAAGGUGGGGACGACGUCAAGUCAUCAUGCCCCUUAUGUCUUGGGCUGCACACGUGCUACAAUGGCUGGUACAAUGAGCUGCGAUGCCGCGAGGCGGAGCGAAUCUCAAAAAGCCGGUCUCAGUUCGGAUUGGGGUCUGCAACUCGACCCCAUGAAGUCGGAGUUGCUAGUAAUCGCAGAUCAGCAUUGCUGCGGUGAAUACGUUCCCGGGCCUUGUACACACCGCCCGUCACGUCACGAAAGUCGGUAACACCCGAAGCCGGUGUCCCAACCCCUUGUGG
RNAcentral lists this ribosomal RNA (1378 nucleotides) under Streptomyces sp. KhCrAH-40. Its description in RNAcentral is "bacterial SSU rRNA". It matches the Rfam family "Bacterial small subunit ribosomal RNA". The record is from RNAcentral. Lineage: Bacteria; Bacillati; Actinomycetota; Actinomycetes; Kitasatosporales; Streptomycetaceae.